AUAAAUUACUAUUCAGUUCGAUUCCGUUUAAUCUAUUUUUUCUCUUCAAAAAACAACCAAACCAAAAUAACCGAAAUUUUUAUAAUGUAAAACCGAAUCGAACCGAUUAAUUUUUAAAAUCAAACCUAUUAAACCAAAUUGACUCGAUUCGAUUCGAUUUUUCAGUUUGAACCAAAUUCUGUUCAGCCCUAUCCCUGGCCAUUACUUCCCUUUUCCCAAAUUUAGGUGGUUUGGUCGAAUAAUUUAUUUAUCUGCAAUAUAUGGUUAAUCAUUUUGAUUUUUAAUAUUUUACUUUUACUUUUACUUUUGUUCUAUUAUCAGCAAUAUAAGAUUUUUUUUUUCAGUAGUAAUUAACAAAAUUAUAUAUUUUUUAAUUUAAUAAAAUAAUUAUAAAAUUAAUUAUUUUUAUUUAAUAACAUUAAAAUUAUUCUAAAAUUUUAAGAUUUUAAGUUUGUAUCCUAAUACACAUAAAUCAAUUA
Molecule: unclassified non-coding RNA, 479 nt
Filed under: Hevea brasiliensis (rubber tree)
Lineage: Eukaryota; Viridiplantae; Streptophyta; Magnoliopsida; Malpighiales; Euphorbiaceae
Source: RNAcentral